CAGAGGGCGCCUCACUCAAUCCCCUUUCUCCUCAUCUCGAUCCACACCCCUCUCUCUCUGUCUCGCACGCCGCCGUCGAUGCUAGGGUUCUGAUUCACGCCGCCGCUGCCGCCUACAGCCAUAGCAGGAGCCGUCCUUGCCUCCUCAUUGAUCCACAGCCGAAGUCGUCGCUCCUUCCACCACCAGCCACCUGACUCGCAAGCGUGCGGCCCUCCUUCCACCGGUCGCCUACUCAGUCCACCUCGCCCGCUCCAUCCCAUGGCGCCACUACCCCAACCCAUGGCCAGCUCCCUCUUCCCUCCUUUCCAUGGCAGCAGAUCUGAAGAGGGGGGGGGGGGGGGGGGGGCAAGGGCUCUUCGCUCCCGGUGGCCUGAAGCGAGGCGUGCAGCCUCUGCUCCCUCAGUAUCUGGCGAACUAUAUGGUCUCCCUCCUCUCCAACCCAUCAGGAGGAAGAAAUGGGCAAGCGAGACCAGCAGGGGAAAGAAUAGGGUGCAGCCUCACACGCUGGCUUGUUGCUUGCACCUGAAAAAGACAGAGACCAGCCGCCGAUGGACACCAUCUGGUGUUGGUUACAACAGGCUCCGAGUUGCGUCCAAGGUGGGCUGAGGUGAUAACUGAAUAAUCUUCUGCUGCAAAGCAGAUUCCGUAUUCACUUAUAUUUUGCAUGGGCCGAAGGAUACUUCUUUUUAUGCUGCAAUACUGCUUACAAAUGUAUAUUCGGUGAAAGGAAGCGGAAAAUUUAAAUGUUGCAAUAUAACACUGAGCAAUUAAUUUUGUUUCUUCUGCUUUGUUGAUCUAUAGUGCUUUAGCGUUACUAAUGACCUCGAGUUAUCCUAUGCAUGCAGUAUUUUUGUACUAGGUUGAACCAGAUGGUCUCUUCCAAUGGAAAUCGCAGGGUGGCCGUUCUUACGAUAAAGAAAAUGAGUGUGUCACAAAAUGACAUUCACUGAUGCAAAUGUAUUUUCCCGAGCAUAGGAUCAACUAGUGCGGCUUCUUGCUUGAUUCAACUGGAUCUAAUGGCGGCGCAGCAGGUGGAGUCGGGAGGCAUGACAGAGGACAUGUGGAUGUUAUCGUGGCAUUGACACAUUUCGCUCCACUGACACUUCAUACCAACGUGAAUGAAUGCUAUCGUGGCCUUAGGCCUGCCAAAUUCUUGCUUUACUUUUUUGUUUUGUAUAUGUAUAUUUCAGUUCCGACGUGCUUUUUCUCAUGUCGAGUUGAAACCACAUUUGGAUGGUCCAGUAGAAAAUAAUCGUAUGUUUCACUCUGAAAUCAUAUUGCAUAUAGAGUGAUGUUCUGUUCUUGAACAAAUUAUUACACACAUAUACAUGAAAAAGUCUCACACUAAGGCUCAUGCAUUCUACUUUUUCCUCCUUUAUCCUCCUUUAUGGCAAGAUGUUGUUAGAGAUGUUUGUUGUUACUCAUUCGGUUGUGGUAUAGAAUGAUGGCUUUUAUAGUCUGUUUACAGUGUCAUCUAUUCAGAAUCAUGCAAAUUUUGGCCUCUACAACAGACUUUGUUUGCUUGCUUCUCUAUUUUCUGUUUCUUUCUGUUUGGAUUAGCAAGUUUCGCUGCACAUCUGUAUAUGCCAUCGGAAUACAUUAUUACAAAAAUGACAGUCUGAAGCUAAAAGAAAAUACAUGACAAAAGAAAAGUAAAUAACUUGAGUAGUAAGGGCUUGCAUUAUAAAUAUGUUUACUUACCAUUUCAGUUAUUUUAUGCACUCAGGUGAAGAUGCUGCAGACUAUGAAGUUUUCAGAGCUCAAACAUAAAACAGUGCAUAUUUUUGCAAAAAACAAUUGCUUUGUUUUUCCCCAACCAUCUUGAUACAAAUUUGGGAUCACCUAAAACUUACAAAAGGCAUGCUUCCUGAUUUGUUCCAAUGAUACAAAAUCAUAAAUUGUUUUUAUCAUUGUUGAAUGUAGGCAGCUAUACUGUUGCAACAUUCAAGAGGAAAGUAUGCACUCAUUUUCUGUUCUACAAGACAAGGUGCACAAGAAGCAGCACAGUACCUCUCAAGAACUGCAGUCUCUUGGCUAUUGAACAAAUUCAUUCAUGAAACCGAUGCAGCAGUACGAAAAUCUAUGAGAAGCUACCUUAACCUGUAGUUGUUGUUCAUUGCUUCAUACCAUCUAUGAAGCAAACAAAAGGACUUCACUCCCAUGGAACCAUGAAGCCAUUGAUCUACGUCAACUAGAUGUUUUAGAUUUCAUUUUGUACAACUGAUGUCUCAUGCAUGCAUCUUUUACAUGUACUUUUGUGAACCUGAUGUAUUCUCAUUUUGUACAACUUAUGUCUCAUACAUGCAUCUUUUACCUAUCCUUCUGUGAACACGAUGUACGGUAUCUGAGUAGUUAUGUUUAUAACAGACUUAAGUGUGUGUAUGUGAAAAAUAGUUAAUGGAAUAAAAAAUGUUUGGUGGACCUGAA
Hordeum vulgare subsp. vulgare (domesticated barley) is the source of this 2427-nucleotide long non-coding RNA. RefSeq lists it as uncharacterized. Lineage: Eukaryota; Viridiplantae; Streptophyta; Magnoliopsida; Poales; Poaceae. The transcript has 3 exons. The record is from RefSeq and is a predicted model, not a curated record.